This 252-nucleotide ribosomal RNA is filed under the name uncultured bacterium. RNAcentral's name for it is "partial 16S ribosomal RNA". It matches the Rfam family "Bacterial small subunit ribosomal RNA", at positions 524 to 776 of the family's 1533-position model. The record is from RNAcentral.
UACGUAGGUCCCGAGCGUUGUCCGGAUUUAUUGGGCGUAAAGCGAGCGCAGGUGGUUUAUUAAGUCUGGUGUAAAAGGCAGUGGCUCAACCAUUGUAUGCAUUGGAAACUGGUAGACUUGAGUGCAGGAGAGGAGAGUGGAAUUCCAUGUGUAGCGAUGAAAUGCGUAGAUAUAUGGAGGAACACCGGUGGCGAAAGCGGCUCUCUGGCCUGUAACUGGCACUGAGGCUCGAAAGCGUGGGGAGCAAACAGG